AACCUCCGCAAUGUGAGAAAUCGCGACGGGGGGAUCCCAAGUGCCAUUCUUAACGGGAUGGCUUUUCAUUAGUGUAAAGAGCUUUUGGAAUAAGGGCUGGGCAAGACCGGUGCCAGCCGCCGCGGUAACACCGGCAGCUCUAGUGGUAGCAGUUUUUAUUGGGCCUAAAGCGUCCGUAGCCGGUUUAAUAAGUCUCUGGUGAAAUCCUGUAGCUUAACUGUGGGAAUUGCUGGAGAUACUAUUAGACUUGAGACCGGGAGAGGUUAGAGGUACUCCCAGGGUAGAGGUGAAAUUCUGUAAUCCUGGGAGGACCGCCUGUUGCGAAGGCGUCUAACUGGAACGGUUCUGACGGUGAGGGACGAAAGUUAGGGCGCGAACCGGAUUAGAUACCCGGGUAGUCCUAACUGUAAACGAUGCGGACUUGGUGUUGGGGUGGCUUUGAGCUGUUCCAGUGCCGAAGGGAAGCUGUUAAGUCCGCCGCCUGGGAAGUACGGUCGCAAGACUGAAACUUAAAGGAAUU
This 520-nucleotide ribosomal RNA is filed under the name uncultured bacterium. RNAcentral describes it as "bacterial SSU rRNA". It matches the Rfam family "Archaeal small subunit ribosomal RNA", at positions 345 to 866 of the family's 1478-position model. The record is from RNAcentral.